RNAcentral lists this long non-coding RNA (447 nucleotides) under Manihot esculenta (cassava). RNAcentral describes it as "long non-coding RNA (MESC_LNC012037)". Lineage: Eukaryota; Viridiplantae; Streptophyta; Magnoliopsida; Malpighiales; Euphorbiaceae. The record is from RNAcentral.
ACCAAUAGACCCUUUUCAGAUCCUGAUACAUCUUGGUGGCUCCUGGGUGAACACUAUACCUCGCAUUAUGAGCUUCCCUCAUAAUGUCUUCCUUCACACUGCCCCUAUCUGGUACACAAAGUCGACUCCCAUAGCGAAGGAUCCCUUUGCUGUCAAAUCUGAACUCUGCACUAUUGCCUGACUGAACAGUCCUGGCAAUUUUCAUCAACUCAGGGUCCUCAUGCUGUCUCUGAGCUAUCUGCUCCAGAAACACAGGUGUCACUCUCAUCUGUGCUAUCAACGCACCUGUACCAGACAACUCUAGCUGUAAUCCCUCGUCAAAUAGCUUAUAAAGUUCCAUCACAACUGGUCUCCGCUCUGCUGCUAUAUGGGAUAAACUGCCUAGUGACUUCCGGCUGAGGGCGUCUGCUACAACAUUCGCCUUACCCGGAUGAUACUGGAUCUUAC